GGUGAAGGAAGGCAUAUGCGCGCAUCGGACGUUUCACCCGACCGAUGCACACAUCCUUGAGUGCCUAC
Molecule: ribosomal RNA, 68 nt
Filed under: Anopheles subpictus
Lineage: Eukaryota; Metazoa; Arthropoda; Insecta; Diptera; Culicidae
Description: partial 5.8S ribosomal RNA
Source: RNAcentral